AGUUGAGACGCGCGAUGCGGGCGGAAAACCGCGCACACUUUUCCUCUUCCCGCUCUGAUCAGGGAAUGAUCUUUUCCCGGCGCGUGACCACGA
RNAcentral lists this small RNA (93 nucleotides) under Sinorhizobium meliloti 2011. RNAcentral's name for it is "putative ncRNA". Lineage: Bacteria; Pseudomonadati; Pseudomonadota; Alphaproteobacteria; Hyphomicrobiales; Rhizobiaceae. The record is from RNAcentral.